This 305-nucleotide ribosomal RNA is filed under the name uncultured bacterium. Its description in RNAcentral is "bacterial SSU rRNA". It matches the Rfam family "Bacterial small subunit ribosomal RNA", at positions 338 to 659 of the family's 1533-position model. The record is from RNAcentral.
CCUACGGGGCGCAGCAGUGGGGAAUAUUGCACAAUGGGGGAAACCCUGAUGCAGCGACGCCGCGUGAGCGAGGAAGUAUUUCGGUAUGUAAAGCUCUGUCAGCAGGGAAGAAGAAUGACGGUACCUGAAGAAGAAGCACCGGCUAACUACGUGCCAGCAGCCGCGGUAAUACGUAGGGGGCAAGCGUUAUCCGGAUUUACUGGGUGUAAAGGGAGCGUAGACGGUUACGCAAGUCUGGAGUGAAAGGCGGGGGCCCAACCCCCGGACUGCUUUGGAAACUGUAUAACUGGAGUGCAGGAGAGGGA